RNAcentral lists this ribosomal RNA (1037 nucleotides) under Halomonas sp. HG01. Its description in RNAcentral is "bacterial SSU rRNA". It matches the Rfam family "Bacterial small subunit ribosomal RNA", at positions 481 to 1520 of the family's 1533-position model. The record is from RNAcentral. Lineage: Bacteria; Pseudomonadati; Pseudomonadota; Gammaproteobacteria; Oceanospirillales; Halomonadaceae.
GCAGAAGAAGCACCGGCUAACUCCGUGCCAGCAGCCGCGGUAAUACGGAGGGUGCAAGCGUUAAUCGGAAUUACUGGGCGUAAAGCGCGCGUAGGCGGCUUGAUAAGCCGGUUGUGAAAGCCCCGGGCUCAACCUGGGAACGGCAUCCGGAACUGUCAGGCUAGAGUGCAGGAGAGGAAGGUAGAAUUCCCGGUGUAGCGGUGAAAUGCGUAGAGAUCGGGAGGAAUACCAGUGGCGAAGGCGGCCUUCUGGACUGACACUGACGCUGAGGUGCGAAAGCGUGGGUAGCAAACAGGAUUAGAUACCCUGGUAGUCCACGCCGUAAACGAUGUCGACUAGCCGUUGGGGUCCUCGAGACCUUUGUGGCGCAGUUAACGCGAUAAGUCGACCGCCUGGGGAGUACGGCCGCAAGGUUAAAACUCAAAUGAAUUGACGGGGGCCCGCACAAGCGGUGGAGCAUGUGGUUUAAUUCGAUGCAACGCGAAGAACCUUACCUACUCUUGACAUCGAGCGAACCAUCCAGAGAUGGAUGGGUGCCUUCGGGAACGCUCAGACAGGUGCUGCAUGGCCGUCGUCAGCUCGUGUUGUGAAAUGUUGGGUUAAGUCCCGUAACGAGCGCAACCCUUGUCCCUAUUUGCCAGCGAUUCGGUCGGGAACUCUAGGGAGACUGCCGGUGACAAACCGGAGGAAGGUGGGGACGACGUCAGGUCAUCAUGGCCCUUACGAGUAGGGCUACACACGUGCUACAAUGGCCGGUACAAUGGGCUGCAAUCCCGCGAGGGGGAGCUAAUCUCAUAAAGCCGGUCUCAGUCCGGAUCGGAGUCUGCAACUCGACUCCGUGAAGUCGGAAUCGCUAGUAAUCGUGCAUCAGAAUGGCACGGUGAAUACGUUCCCGGGCCUUGUACACACCGCCCGUCACACCAUGGGAGUGGACUGCACCAGAAGUGGUUAGCCUAACUUCGGAGGGCGAUCACCACGGUGUGGUUCAUGACUGGGGUGAAGUCGUAACAAGGUAGCCGUAGGGGAACCUGCGGCUG